GACGAACGCUGGCGGCGGGCUUAACACAUGCAAGUCGAACGGAAAGGCCCUGCGUUUGUGGUGUGCUCGAGUGGCGAACGGGUGAGUAACACGUGAGUAACCUGCCCUUGACUUUGGGAUAACUUCAGGAAACUGGGGCUAAUACCGGAUAGGAUCUCCUGCUGCAUUGUGGGGGUUGGAAAGUUUCGGCGGGUGGGGAUGGACUCGCGGCUUAUCAGCUUGUUGGUGGGGUAGUGGCUUACCAAGGCUUUGACGGGUAGCCGGCCUGAGAGGGUGACAGGCCACAUUGGGACUGAGAUACGGCCCAGACUCCUACGGGAGGCAGAAGUGGGGAAUAUUGAACAAUGGGCGGAAGCCUGAUGCAGCAACGCCGCGUGCGGGAUGACGGCCUUCGGGUUGUAAACCGCUUUCGCCUGUGACGAAGCGUGAGUGACGGUAAUGGGUAAAGAAGCAACGGCUAACUACGUU
RNAcentral lists this ribosomal RNA (468 nucleotides) under uncultured bacterium. Its description in RNAcentral is "partial 16S ribosomal RNA". It matches the Rfam family "Bacterial small subunit ribosomal RNA", at positions 28 to 507 of the family's 1533-position model. The record is from RNAcentral.